UCCAGACUCCUACGGGAGGCAGCAGUGGGGAAUAUUGCACAAUGGGGGAAACCCUGAUGCAGCGACGCCGCGUGAGUGAAGAAGUAAUUCGUUAUGUAAAGCUCUCUCAGCAGGGAAGAAAAUGACGGUACCUGAGUAAGAAGCCCCGGCUAACUACGUGCCAGCAGCCGCGGUAAUACGUAGGGGGCAAGCGUUAUCCGGAUUUACUGGGUGUAAAGGGAGCGUAGACGGCCAGACAAGUCUGAAGUGAAAAUCCAGCGCUUAACGUUGGAAGUGCUUUGGAAACUGCCGGGCUGGAGUGCAGGAGGGGCAGGCGGAAUUCCUAGUGUAGCGGUGAAAUGCGUAGAUAUUAGGAGGAACACCAGUGGCGAAGGCGGCCUGCUGGACUGCAACUGACGUUGAGGCUCGAAGGCGUGGGGAGCAAACAGGAUUAGAUACCCUGGUA
Molecule: ribosomal RNA, 445 nt
Filed under: uncultured bacterium
Lineage: Bacteria
Description: bacterial SSU rRNA
Rfam family: Bacterial small subunit ribosomal RNA
Source: RNAcentral